AUGUAACCCACAUAAAAAGAGCUGCAUCUAUAACUAAGCCGAAAUUUUAAAUUCCAAUUGGGAGCGUGCCCGUGAAGGCAUCGCGACGCGUCAUGGCGCGUGUCUGCACAUGCCUGUUGUGACCAAUCACAUUCGCGAGGCACCGAUAUAUGCCUUCCGGGUUGUCGUCUCGAAAAGAUGCGGGGGAGAGGCGUUAGCGGAUGGAAGCAACAGGUACGUAGGGCGAGCGCUUUUCGCUGUUUACUAUCUUGACUUGUUUUGAAUUAAUUGUGGAUUGCGUUCAACAGUAUUUUGAUACCGCCGUGGGUAGAUGCGUGGGGCUCGUAUGUGACAUCGCACGUAGUGAAUGUGCAGGCUAGUGGUGCCCUGGAGAGACCACAGCGACACCACUACUUUGGAUGGCGAGCUAGGCCCAACGAGCCAGAACCCCAGCUACAACUUCCUGCGGUCUGUGCAGGCUAGUGGUGCCCUGGAGAGACCACAGCGACACCACUACUUUGGAUGGCGAGCUAGGCCCAACG
Long non-coding RNA from Astatotilapia calliptera (eastern happy), 521 nucleotides. NCBI's taxonomy places the organism in Eukaryota, Metazoa, Chordata, Actinopteri, Cichliformes, Cichlidae. The record is from Ensembl.